AGCCUGAACGCUGGCGGCGUGGCUAAGACAUGCAAGUCGUACGGUGUAGCAAUACACAGUGGCGAACGGGUGAGUAAUGAAUCGCUAAUGUACCCCGGACUCUGGGAUAGCUGCCCGAAAGGGCAGGUAAUACCAGAUGAUAUAUUCCUUCCGCAUGGUUGGAAUCUCAAAGGUCCGCCGGUCUGGGAGCAGGCGAUUUUGUAUCAGCUAGUUGGUGAGGUAACGGCUCACCAAGGCGAUGACGCAUAGCCGGACUGAGAGGUUGGCCGGCCACAUUGGGACUGAGACACUGCCCAGACUCCUACGGGGGGCUGCAGUAACGAAUCUUCCGCAAUGCACGAAAGUGUGACGGAGCGACGCCGCGUGUGGGACGAAGCCCUUCGGGUGUAAACCACUGUCAGAGGAUAGAAAGUUCUGAUCAUCCUCAGAGGAAGGCACGGCUAACUCUGUGCCAGCAGCCGC
This 462-nucleotide ribosomal RNA is filed under the name uncultured bacterium. Its description in RNAcentral is "SSU rRNA". It matches the Rfam family "Bacterial small subunit ribosomal RNA", at positions 26 to 518 of the family's 1533-position model. The record is from RNAcentral.